CCUACGGGUGGCAGCAGUGGGGAAUCUUGGGCAAUGGGCGCAAGCCUGACCCAGCAACGCCGCGUGAAGGAAGAAGGCUUUCGGGUUGUAAACUUCUUUUGACAGGGAAGAGCAGAAGACGGUACCUGUCGACUAAGCCACGGCUAACUACGUGCCAGCAGCCGCGGUAAUACGUAGGUGGCAAGCGUUGUCCGGAUUUACUGGGUGUAAAGGGCGUGUAGCCGGGCGGACAAGUCAGAUGUGAAAUCCGGGGGCUCAACCGCCGAACUGCAUUUGAAACUGUUGGUCUUGAGUAUCGGAGAGGCAGGCGGAAUUCCUAGUGUAGCGGUGAAAUGCGUAGAUAUCACGAAGAACCCCGAUUGCGAAGGCAGCCUGCCGCAGCGUUACUGACGCUGAAGCUCGAAAGCGCGGGUAUCGAACAGGAUUAGAUACCCGAGUAGUC
This 442-nucleotide ribosomal RNA is filed under the name uncultured bacterium. Its description in RNAcentral is "partial 16S ribosomal RNA". It matches the Rfam family "Bacterial small subunit ribosomal RNA", at positions 338 to 795 of the family's 1533-position model. The record is from RNAcentral.